This 89-nucleotide transfer RNA is filed under the name Caulacanthus okamurae. Its description in RNAcentral is "tRNA-Ser". It matches the Rfam family "tRNA". Rfam says of the family: Transfer RNA (tRNA) molecules are approximately 80 nucleotides in length. Their secondary structure includes four short double-helical elements and three loops (D, anti-codon, and T loops). The record is from RNAcentral. Lineage: Eukaryota; Rhodophyta; Florideophyceae; Gigartinales; Caulacanthaceae.
GGAUGAAUGGCUGAGUGGUUGAAAGCACCAAUUUUGAAAAUUGGCAUAAAUUUAAUUUAUCAUAGGUUCGAAUCCUAUUUCAUCUGUCA